Oxyura jamaicensis (ruddy duck) is the source of this 490-nucleotide long non-coding RNA. RefSeq lists it as uncharacterized. The record is from RefSeq and is a predicted model, not a curated record. The transcript has 3 exons. NCBI's taxonomy places the organism in Eukaryota, Metazoa, Chordata, Aves, Anseriformes, Anatidae.
CUGUCGCCUCUUUGUAAGCCCUACUUCCUUUCUUCAUGUCUGAAUUUGGACCGGGGAUAAUGAGCUUCCUGCAUCGCACCCUGAGGUACAAGGAAACUCAUUGUACCCUAACCCAGGAAGAGUAUAUCAGGAAGUCUCCUGGAAAUGUUGGCUCAUUGUCCUUAAUCACGUUGUGAUAUUUGGAACUGAACAUACCUCCCCAAAGCGUUCUCUUCAAUUCUACUCACAAGCUUGGUAUUUCAGAUUAUAUACGGAUGUUGAACGUGAAAGAUUUUUCCCCACUUCACUUAAAACAUUUCAGGGUAAAUAACACCACAACUAUGUUUACACUGUAACAGAAUGAAAAGUCCUUUGGACCAGAUGUAAGCACACUGCAUACUGAACCUCCUCUCCCCAGGCCCUAUCUGCUCCAGAUAUAUUAUGGCAGCAAGGACUGCCAGCAGAAUGCUUGUGAGCAUUUCUGUGCUGGUGCGUUGAACCACCAAGCUCA